Hemibagrus wyckioides is the source of this 6729-nucleotide long non-coding RNA. RefSeq lists it as uncharacterized. The transcript has 3 exons. Lineage: Eukaryota; Metazoa; Chordata; Actinopteri; Siluriformes; Bagridae. The record is from RefSeq and is a predicted model, not a curated record.
GGGCUGGAGAUGGCAGCGAGUGUGUAGGGAAAAAAGGGGAAGAUAAUGGCAGUAGGAAAAGAGGCAUAGAGCGAAUAAAGCAAUGGCUAAUGCUAACAUUAGUAAGAUAGUAAGUCGGCGUCUAUGUGAGACCAGACAGAGAGGCAGUGAAACGGGUGAGCUUAAAUAGAGGAGUGGAGGUGAUUGUGAAACGAGGUGCAGGUGAACUAAAUUAGAAUUCGGGUGAGUGAGUGCGCUGGUGAGAGGUCGAGUCCUGUGUGCCUGUGACAACAGCUCAAGGAAAGAGGCAGACCUGGGAGAAAAUAUCUCAGCAGAUAAACUCCUCAUUCCCUCUGGUUGUGUGCACCAGCGAGGAAUGUGAAAAGUGGUGGUAUGUGUUGCAGUCUCAAGCCAGGAGGGAGAUUGCAGUACACAAACGGGAUUCUUCAAGCACAGGUGGAGGACCACCCGCUAAACAACUGUCUCAGGUAGCGGAAACUGUAUUUAAUGUACUUGGACAUUCGGAAAUAUCUGUCACUGGGCUGAAGGAAGGCACAGACAGCUCAAUGAUCCAGCUUAUGAGAAUACAACAAAAGUAGGACAACAUGGAGCCAUCAGAGGAACCAGGGCCAUCAACAUCGCAGGUGUGCGAUCCUCAGCCAGUGUAUCAGAUAAUCCUGCCUGCUGCAGCCACCCCAACACCCUCCCUGCUGGACAGAAAAUUGGAGAUUGAAAUUGAUACCCUCACACAGCACAAAAAAGUUCUCUGUUUACAGAAGGAGCAUUAUAAGCUAAAAAUUUAGCUGCUAAAAUAUAAGAAGAAUGACAAAAAGUGUAUCACUGUCACGUGGUCUUUAUAACAGCAGUUGUGUUCAACUACAGUUAUGGCAUUAAUACGUUGAGUGGGAGAUGUGAGCGCAUCUCUAAUAAGUUUGACCACAAACAUUAGCCCAUCGUGAUCCAAUCUGGAGAAGAGCAACCGGGGAAAAGGUGUACCAGUGGAGUCUUGGCCACAUCUGUAACAGAGUAUCCAGGUCCAGAGGGGCCGGGUGAGAACGGGAAAACCAUCGAGGAUAGUGGGUCGACUCUUCGGAGGUGAACAGAUCCACUUCCAACCAUCCAAAAAUCUGACAAAUGCACUCCACCACUUGUGGGUGGAGAUGCCACUCCACAGGCGUCAGUACCUGAUUUACAUGCCCUGGGAUGAAAAUGACUCUCAGUGGGAGAAACCUGGGCCCGUAUUCACAAAGCUUCUUAAGCCUAAAAGUUGCUCCUAGUGACGAAAUUCUAAGAAAAUUCUUAGUAGUACUGUAGUAAUGCCAUAAUGCCAGAAAUGAAAGUGAUUACAACACUGAGGUAUUUGGCAACUGGAAAAAUGCAACAGUGCAGUAGUGAUGACUUUGUGUCUGUCACAACCUUCCAUCAGCAGAUUGAUCACACAAACUGAAGUGCUUUCACAGUCUCAUAUAUUGAUUUGCGAUUCUCCAUAAACUGUACACAAAUCGGUGUUCGUCUCAGUCCCCUUUAAAUUUCAUAUGAAAACGGCGGCAGACUUUGGCUCCUCCCUGUCUUUCAGCGCGUUCUUCAAUCCACAGACCACGGCGUCGCAGAGCAAAGAUCAGAGGGCGUGUGUGUGUGUGUGUGUGAGAUCAGGAAGACUCGUAUUUGGCUUGUUCAGUACUCAAAUGUUAUACACAUCUAUGCAAUACAGUGGAAUGCUGCAAUAAGUUUACCAUCCUACCCGGUUAGUCAAACGUUUAUUUUAUUUAUUUAUUUAUUUAUUUAUUUAUUUUUUACUAUUAUACCCUCAUUUGGGGCUGAGCCCCCCUUAAAUGAAUAUUCUAGAAUCGCCCCUGGUCCAUUCUAUUAUCAUAUAUUCUGUUUUCACAAAGAGCACAUUUUAAGACCUUUACAGAUUUUUUAUCAACCUAUUACAGUCCUUGAAUUGCUGCGUCAUCCCUAGCAAUGGGGUCAACCACACCUUCUUACUAAGAUAAAGGUUUUUGUACUUUCCUUACUCAGAGUUGCUCUGAGAAGUUACCUAAAUCACUUUUAGUCUAGGACUCCCAGCUAGGACUUUUUAGGCUAAGAUAGGAGCUCUCUGAGAGAAUUCUAAGAAGCUUUGUGAAUACGGACCCUGGUCUCUUUUAAGAGCAGAACACAGACCACCCUGAAGAUUGAUAUUGGAAACUACCAUAGUGCUGUCUGUGUGCACUUACACAUAGUAGCCCCUGAGGUGUGGGAGAAAGUGUUUCAAUGCUACAAAAGCAAUUUAUGUGCCAUGAGAGAUAAGGGCCCCCCCAGAGACCCUGGGUGGGGAAGCCAUUCAAGUCUGCUCAACAGCCCGAAAAUGAGGCAUCCAUUAAAAGAGCUUUGCGACAAUGCCAUGCUCAUAGAGUGGGACCUAAGGUCAGGAACCCAAGGUCAGGUCUUUUCCACAUAAGAAGGGUACGAAACCCAUGGUAUGUAACUUUUAUGACCCUGAGGGGAUGCCUGCAGGGAUGAAAGCCUGGGCACUGUCUGCAUUUCAGCUUUCACUGCUGACAGGAUGAAAGCCACCUGAGCAAGAGACAGACAUGCCUGCAUCCUGUAAUCCCAAACUACCCCCAAGAAGGUGGUUCUCUGAGAAGGAGAACGCUCACACACGGUACAGUAAUGAGUGUCUGCAGGUAACAGUGAAACAUGGUGGAGGUUCCUUGAAAGUUUGGGGCUACAUUUCUGCAAAUGGAGUUGGAUAUUUGGCCAGAAUUAAUGGUGUCCUUAAUGCAGAGAAAUAUAAACAGAUACACUAUAUUGCCAAAAGUUUUAGGACACCCCUCCAAAUCAUUGAAUUUAGGGGUUGGGCUUGGCUCCUAAGUUCCAGUGAAAGGAAUUCUUAAUGCUUCAGCAUACCAAGACAUUUUGGACAAUUUCAUGCUCCCAAUUUUGUGGGAACAGUUUGGGGAUGACCCCUUCCUGUUCCAACAUGACUGUGGUGACGGUGCCACGCACACCGCCACACGCAUGCAUUGCAGGGCGGAGAGAAAGUGCUGCUAAGCUCUUUGCCCACCAGCAGAACAACACAACGGAGAGACUGACCCUGCCGGCCACACGAGGUAAGGCCUGCCCCCUGCUGGACUAACAGGAACGCUAUGCUUUGUUUACAGGCAGCUCAGACUAAAGCCAGGCCUUUGUGGAACCGCCGAAGCUCUGCCUCCCUCCUGGAUCUGCACCAGCCGUCUCCUGACGUCUUCAGCCUUCGCCAGGACCCCGCUGCUGCCUCCAGCCCGCCUCGGCCCCUUCUACGCCCCUUCAGGGAAGAAUCGUCCUAGUUGGCUCUUUUUGCUAUUUUUCUUUCCUCCCUUUUGCUCACCAGCUAUCCUGAGUUCAUUUCAGGAUAUCCUGAGGUUCCCUAUUUUUCUGUUUAGUGAUAAAAAAACUGGUGUUAACAUGUUCCCUGGCUCUGUGUGUUGUUCUCUGUCCCCGCUUAGCGCGCUACACUGCACACUAGUGCACAAAGCAAGGUCCAGAUAGAACACCUUUGGGAUUAAUUAGAGUGGAGACUGCAAGCCAGGCCUUCUCAUCCAACAUCAGUGUCUGACCUCACAAAUGUGCUUCUAGAGGAAUGGUCAAAAAUUCCCAUAAACACACUCUUAAACCUUGUGGAAAGCCUUCUGUUACUUUUCAUGGUUGUUUAUUUAUAUAAUGUUAUUGUUGGACACUAUAUGCUGCUGUGUGCUUUUUCUCUCUUUCUGUGUUUGUGUGUGUUCCCUGCUGCUCAACAAGGUAUGGAGGAGAGGGAGAUCAUUGCUCAUACAUGCUGCUUGUUACUGUGCAGAGGCUGCAAGCUUAAAAGUUGUUAACAUGCCUUCCACAUUGAAGCUUGUCUUCCAGAGUGCUGUGCCUCUUGCCUGCCUUGUGUUGUGGUGUUUAUUAAAGAGAUUGAUACUGUGUAAACUUACUCAAAGUUGUGUGUUGAAAAUCGUGCUGUGUGGACUUGGCAUUACUCAAAGUUGUGGCCUAUUAUAACCUACUGAACUUAAGUGAUUACUGGCGUUGAUGCUACUUGUCUGUUUGUUGGAAGCCGUAGGGAGGUGGGUGCUGAACCGUUUCUGUGAACCCUUUUCACCUGUUUUUGCUUAGCUAGGGAGUUAGCAUACAUUUCUGUUGUUAAGUAUAUUUUAUUUUGUCAAUUUUACCUCCUAACUAGUCAGAGGGUCCUUUUGUUUGUUGUUUUGGCCUUUCCCCCUCCUGAAGUCUAUUUUUGCUUCCUAUUUUAUUUUGUGAUUUGUAAUUUUUGUUAAUAAAAUGCUGGAAUUGUUUUAUUAAUUUUAUUUAUACAUUUUUCUGUUACUCCCUUACUCUGUGACUCUUUAUUUCUGGGAUGUAACACUUCCCAGAAGAAGCUGUUAUAGCUGUAAAGGGCAGGACAACUCCAUAUUAAAUUCAUGUGCAUGUAAAGACAGGCUUCCCAGUUUUGGCCUGGUUUGCAGUCUCCACGCUAAUUCAUCUCAAAGGUGUUCUAUCAGGUUGAGGUCAGGACCAGUCAAGUUCCACACCAAACUCGCUCAUCCAUGUCUUUGUGGACCUUGAUUUGUGCACUGGUGCACAGUCAUGUUGGAACAGGAAGGGGUCAUCCCCAAACUGUUCCCACAAAGUUGGGAACAUGAAAUUGUCGAAAAUGUCUUGGUAUGCUGAAGCAUUAAGAGUUCCUUUCACUGGAAUUAAGGGGCCGAGCCCAACCCCUAAAAAACAACACCUGAUUUUAAUGAUUUGGAGGGGUGUCCCAAAACUUUUGGCAAAAUAGUGUACUUUUUUCCAUCAUACCAUCAGGCAGGCAUCUGAUUGUCCCCAAAUUUAUUCUGCAGCAGGACAACAACCCCCAAACAUACAACCAGUCUUAAAGCAUAGAAAAGAACAAGGAGUCCUGCAAGUGAUGGUUUGGCCCCCACAGAGCCCUGAUCUCAAGAUCAUCAAGUCUGUCUGGAAUUAUAUGUAGAGACAGGCGAUCUAUGGUGAGUUCUCCAAGAUGUUUGGAACAUCCUACCUGCAGAGUUCUUUCAAAAACUGUGUGCAAGUCUUCCUUGAAGAAUUGAUACUGUUUUGUCAACAAAGGUUGGUCACACCAAAUAUUUGAUUUGCAUUUCUCUUCUCUUCAUUGUCACUAUCCGUUUUGUUAAUUGAUAAAUUAACCUUGAUAAAACUUAAAAUUUUAAAAACAUUCUUACUUUACAGCAUUUUUUCACACCUUUGCACAGUACUUUGUCUCACUUUUAUUUUGACUCCUGUUCUUGCUUGAAUAAGGGCAGUGCAUGGUUUGUUUUGUGGCAUCAGCAUUUUCUGUAUUUACUGGACUUGAAAUGUUAAAAAAAAAAGUGAAAGGAUAAAAGAGGGUGGUUGCACAUGCUAUGUGUGGUAUUAAGUUUCAGUCUUUUUAUAAAUAUUAUUUAAUGUCAUUUGUAACUGCAAGGAGGGUGACCUGAGGAUAACUUCAGUCCUCCACCAAUGGAACACAAAUACACAAGACACAAAAUAUGCAAUAUAUAAAAUAUUUUAAAAAACUACUUAGAAAUCUAUACCCUAGAAAAAAAGAACAAGUUCAUACAUGGAACAAAAUAAACACUGCUUAAGUGUGGCAAAAAGAUAUCCAUAGCUGACAUGAGACCAAAUCUCCCCUAAAAUACUGGCAAUUCUUGACCUUGUGAGGAUAUUUGGCUGGUCCUUUUUGUACACAGCUUUUAUGUGAAAAGAAAAAAAAUACAAGUGGUUAGGGUUACUAUUAAAUUCAGGUGUUAAUUAUCUGUAUAAAUAAUGAUAUCAGUAGAAGGUUCUCAUAAGUAUAUUAAGACAAAUAUGUAGUAGCGCUUUCCAAGACAUGAUUACAAUCUGCCAUCUUCUGGUUACAGGGUGGUACUGCGCUUGAUUUCUAACACUGUGUCCCAGUCAGGACGAUCUCCAUGAAUUCAUGUGUUCCGUCCUCCAGUCUGUCCAAAUAUGAAAUUAUUGCUUACUAAAUUGUAAAGUGUCACCCAACAUAAAUAAAGACUUCAUGCGGUAGUUUCCACACACACUGGUAUGAUCAAAUCUCCUGUUUUUCCUGGUUGCCACAAAAAUUGCACAUCUUUGGAGGAUAUUAAAGGAAGAUGAUUUUAUCAGAACAUAAGUAAAAUUUUACACAGACGUUCAUUUUCAGCUCUGUGUUUAUUGUUAAAGGGUUAUAUAGCCUGCAGAAGUGAGUAGUCCAGUCAGAAGGUCAGUUGCCCACAGGGAGUAUGCUGUAACAUGGUGUUAAAACUUACCCCUCUCAGCUACAUUUUUACUUUUGCAGUUAAAGAUUUAACAUACCAUGUUUCUCUAAUUGACGUCUAACUUUUAAGGUUUUAUAUUAACUCCUGUUUCUACUUGAAUAAGAGCAGUCUAUGGUUCGUUUUGCGGUGUCACCGUUCUCUGUAUUUACUGGAGUUUGUUUGAAAAAAAUGGCCGGUCAUGCAUGCAAUGUGUGGUUGGUUUUAUUUGCCAAUUGAAAACAUUUCGCUUCAUUAGAAACUUGAAUCUCAAAUAUUGAACAUAAAUUUAUUUAAAUAUUUAAGUGUCUAAAUAUUAAAUAUUUAAUAUUUAAAUAAAUAUUUAUUUGAAACCCACUGGUCUUGUUGCAGCUCUUGUUGCAGGUAGGGUGACAUGACGAUAGAGUCAGUCAGCCACUGAUGGAACACAAACACACAAUUCAUGAAAUAUGCAAUAUUUAAAAGAUUUAAGAAAAAAAAACAAACU